Molecule: microRNA precursor, 145 nt
Organism: Ectocarpus siliculosus
Lineage: Eukaryota; Phaeophyceae; Ectocarpales; Ectocarpaceae
Rfam family: MIR3454 microRNA precursor family
Source: Rfam
CGCGGAGUUCUUCCAAGCUCCGACGGGAUGGCGAUCGUGACUAGGUCCGCCGCCUUGUAUCACACGAGCGUGUAUGUCCGUGCGACUCAAGGCGGCAGAACUAGCCACGGGCACCCUUCCAUCGGAGCUCGUCAGAAUGCCACGA